AAUACGUUCCCGGGCCUUGUACACACCGCCCGUCACACCACGAAAGUUGGCAACACCCGAAGCCGGUGGCCCAACCCUUGGGAGGGAGCCGUCGAAGGUGGGGUUAGCGAUUGGGGUG
This 118-nucleotide ribosomal RNA is filed under the name uncultured bacterium. RNAcentral describes it as "partial 16S ribosomal RNA". It matches the Rfam family "Bacterial small subunit ribosomal RNA", at positions 1365 to 1482 of the family's 1533-position model. The record is from RNAcentral.